GAAGAUCCCACAAGAACCCUAUCCUCCCUUCUGAUCCUUACCAGAGGGGUAAGUUCCGGUUUUCGAUUUUCUGUGUACAUCCCAACCAGUUGGCAUAGUGGUUAAAACUUUUAGAUCAUCUAGUAGAAAUCAUGAAUUCGUUUCCCACAAAAAGUGAUAAGAAAAGUUAAUUUGAUAUUAUUGAGACCUUAAUUACCCUAGAGGGAUAUACGGGUCUUCUAACCCAAAAUUGCGUAGUCAUUAAAGAGUAGGUCUCAUAGUACUGCCAACAGUGCUAAAUUUAGCUAUUCAAAC
RNAcentral lists this long non-coding RNA (294 nucleotides) under Brassica napus (rape). RNAcentral describes it as "long non-coding RNA (BNAP_LNC018880)". Lineage: Eukaryota; Viridiplantae; Streptophyta; Magnoliopsida; Brassicales; Brassicaceae. The record is from RNAcentral.